This is a long non-coding RNA of Carassius auratus (goldfish), 332 nucleotides long. RefSeq lists it as uncharacterized. The transcript has 3 exons. The record is from RefSeq and is a predicted model, not a curated record. Lineage: Eukaryota; Metazoa; Chordata; Actinopteri; Cypriniformes; Cyprinidae.
UCUAAAUACUCAAACAUAUUUAGAGGAGAGUGAAAGACACAAAUGCUGUUAACUUGUGAAAAUGUUUAGUUGAUUUGAUGAAGGAGACUCCAUCCACAGAACAAAGACUAUAUACUGGAUAUCUGUACAUUAACAACAGACACACAACUGAAUAUAAAUUAAAAUAGAAUAAUAAUGUAUAUAAAACAUGAGAUAAGAAAAGUAACAUGGAAAUUUGACACAUUGUAGAUUUGCUUUAUAUCUUUUGACACAUUUAAGUGCUGCACUUGACAAUCACAUUUAAACAUUUGAAUCAUUAUGAAUGAGUUUAAUAGAAAUAUUAUUAAACUGAA